UACGUAGGGUGCAAGCGUUAAUCGGAAUUACUGGGCGUAAAGCGUGCGCAGGCGGCUUUGCAAGACAGACGUGAAAUCCCCGGGCUCAACCUGGGAACUGCAUUUGUGACUGCAUGGCUGGAGUGCGGCAGAGGGGGAUGGAAUUCCGCGUGUAGCAGUGAAAUGCGUAGAUAUGCGGAGGAACACCGAUGGCGAAGGCAAUCCCCUGGGCCUGCACUGACGCUCAUGCACGAAAGCGUGGGGAGCAAACAGG
RNAcentral lists this ribosomal RNA (253 nucleotides) under uncultured bacterium. RNAcentral's name for it is "partial 16S ribosomal RNA". It matches the Rfam family "Bacterial small subunit ribosomal RNA", at positions 524 to 776 of the family's 1533-position model. The record is from RNAcentral.